AAAGGGGUUUCCUGGAAUAGGGCAAGGUGACAUUAAUAUGUAAAUGAAGUAAAAAUUGGGUAAGUGAAGGUUUCAUUCAACAUGAUAAUGAUGCAAUGUGUAUUCCUGCUAUGGUGCUUAUCUGAAGAUAGUUUUAAUCCUCCUGAAGAACCUGAUAGCCAGAUACUUAUUCUUGAAGUACUAUUGUUACUAAGUCUCAGAUCUCUAGGAGGGUAUAAUUUUGUAACUCCAGAAUGCCCUGCACCAUUGCUGAAAAAUUUAGAAAACACUGUUUCUUCUUUGCAACCUCUCUGAUGCUGCUGAGUCCAGGGCACUGCUGUUUCACAGCCUUCAUCCUGUCCAACAGUCCUGGGAAGAGAGCACAGCAGGGACAGAAAUGAGAAAAGCCAGACUUCGAAGCCUAAUUUUCAGGGGCUCACAUCACUUCUGUUCCUGUGUCGUGGGACCAUCCAGCAGCAGCACAUAAUUGAAAGUCAUCUGACUCACAGGAUUGGGAGUGAACCUGGCAGGCCCUGGAACAGAUCUUCACUGACUGGCAUGUGUGAAGAAGACACCGUGGGAUCAGCUUGAUGUCCUUACAUGUGCACUAGUUCAUCCUGCUGUGACACAUACUCUGGAUGUGCUAAUGCAGUAUUGGAUUGCAUUCCCCAUGGGCUGCUGGAGGAACUAAGGGUGCAACCUGGAAGUACAGGGGAGUUAAUGUCCUGUAAGGAAUAUUCCAAGGGAGAAGGGAGCCAGCCCAUAAAUUCUCCUCCCUUCCUUCCUUGGCAAUUCAGCAUAAUCAAUCCACUAUGCUUGUCACAAAGCUGUAGCCAUGCCUGGUACAUUUGCUUCCCUUGCCUUUCCUCUCAUUUUUGCUUCCCAAGAUUUUAAUACUCAAUAAAACAUUAGCACUGUAAUGUAAGCUGUUC
Molecule: long non-coding RNA, 911 nt
Filed under: Homo sapiens (human)
Lineage: Eukaryota; Metazoa; Chordata; Mammalia; Primates; Hominidae
Description: HSALNT0110405
Source: RNAcentral